Molecule: small RNA, 2150 nt
Filed under: Drosophila pseudoobscura pseudoobscura
Lineage: Eukaryota; Metazoa; Arthropoda; Insecta; Diptera; Drosophilidae
Description: GA30629
Source: RNAcentral
GUUGACUCGUGUGUGAGCGCUCGUGAGUGUGAGUUUGUGUUUGGGUUUGUGUGCGUGUGCGUGUGUGUAUAGGUAUGUUUUGGGCUGAGUGGGCGUGGAGCAAUCUGUUCAAUCAGAUUGAUUAAUUGAUUGAUUUUGUUUGUUUAUUUUUGGUAUCAAGUGGAGACAUAAUCGUCCCGUGCUUUUGGAUGCAUUUAGUGGAGCAGAGCAGUUCCCCUCAAUGUGCGCCUCUGCUUUAGCUCUCACACUCUCGUUCUCUCACUCCUUCCUCGUAUUACCGUUUAUUUGCCUUGGCGAUUGUCACACAGCAACAACAAGAGUAUGUCUGUGGAAUGGGGGGGUGAGGGGACAACAACAACUACUUGAGGCUGUAACUGUAACUGUAAACGUAAGUGUAACUGUAACUCCACAUGCGGCGGAGAGCAAAACAAGACACGACCCACGAGUAUGGGAUGAUGAUACACAGAGAAACAGCGCGACACCAACGAAAAUUGCCUCGUUACUGUUACGUUUUUUUUUUUUUUUUGUUACUGUUACUGUUGCUGUUGCCUUUGGUUUUUGGUUCGGCUUUGGUUUUGAGGCUUGGAUUUGUUUUGGGGCGUGGAGACGUUGCGGCCUAAUGGCGGGCCGGGCGGUCCGGGUCCGGGUACGUCGUGCAGAGGUUUGGUUUGUUUGACUUUGUUAUUUGAGCACCUUCCUUCCUUCCUUCUCCGUUUUUUUCUUCCUUUUUGGCUGCUGCUCUGCCUUUGCUCCUGUUUCUGUUCUCAGGUAAGUUGGCACCGCAUAAAACACAAUAACUCACACGCAGACACGUGAAAAAAUAGACAACUUCAACAAGAACAACAUAGCACGGUCACACUUCAAUAAAUAACAACUAUAACAAACAGCAAAAAAGACGUCGUCGUUGAACACGAGAGACCAAAAACUGUCUUUCUCUAAAAAAAUGUGCGCUGCGCUAGGAUGAAGCAGUCGUCGUUCGCGCGGGAGUCGAACAACCGUCGUCGUCGAGUGUAAAAUGAAAACAACGAUAGAGCGGGCGCAAGGUCGAAAGCAGAACUGAACGGCGGGGCGGCUGCGAGAUAACACAGAAACGGGAAACCAGAGCUAGCGACAGUGCUGGCCAAAUGGCUAUAGCUAGAACCAUUGGCACAUAUUGAGCAAGGAUAUCCUCUUAAGUGCUCACUGAAAAUCCCUUUUGGUUUUGCCACCAGCCAAAUCCUACUCGAACAUCUCUCACACAGCACACCGCUGCUUGUCUCAUCCAAAAGUGGUGUCAAACUCGAACAUGCUCGAAGCUAACUUAACAGUUGGAUGCCCAGCAGUGUUUUCCGCUUAACCUCAUUGGAUCUAAGCAAUAUUACAAUGUUCAGAGUCUACGGAACACAAUACCAAAAACAUGAGUAUUAAGAGUGCUACUGUAUGAUCUUUUAAUGGAAUCAAUUUGCCAAGCUGUGGAACUAGUGCUUCAGCUCAUAUCAUUUUAUUGUGAAUUGGGAGGACAUCUGUGUUUUCCACAGUGAGGUUAUCAAUAAUGUGAAAAUUCAUACUACAACUUGGCAAACCGUUCAUGAAUUCUCUUAACUUUCGGAACCUGGCUACAUCGUUUUAUCCAUGUCUUCAAUCCGAAAAAUGAUUUAUAGUCGAAUUUCUCUAUAACAAACUAUCUUAAAACAAAGUUUUCUAUAUAAAGAAUUUAUAAAAUAUUUGCAAAAUAUUUCCCUUGAGAUUCGCUAAAUAGAAGUUCGGGUGUAGUAUUAUAAUCGACCAAUGGGGAUUGAAUGAGGUCUUCUGAGCAGCUUUGCAUACUAUUGUUCGGAACACCUCUUUUUCUAUCGUUCUGCAAGUGUUUGGGUCGUUUUGUCGCAGAUCGGUCAACACUGAUGCAACCAGAAGGUUCGGAGCUCGAAGACAGGAGUUCGAAGUUGGAAGUUCGAUGUUGCGGAGUCUGCGAAUCGCGCCGGGCUGGUACAUAUGCUAGUCGGUUGGCUGUGUUGCUGGUUGCUUGGUUCGAGGGGUUAAGGUUGCAAUCAGUUGGGUUGGGGUAGCUGAGCUCCGUCUCUUUGAUGAUAAUGGGGUGGCAAACGGGAAAACGGGCAAUGGCAGCAAGGCACCAAGCAGGCUUUGGCUUUGACUUCGUAUUUGCUGCUCUC